Unclassified non-coding RNA from Cavia porcellus (domestic guinea pig), 309 nucleotides. Its record names the gene 7SK. It matches the Rfam family "7SK RNA". From Rfam's summary of the family: 7SK was discovered as an abundant small nuclear RNA in the mid-70s but a possible function has only recently been suggested. Two independent studies have found that 7SK RNA binds the CDK9/cyclin T complex (known as elongation factor P-TEFb). Lineage: Eukaryota; Metazoa; Chordata; Mammalia; Rodentia; Caviidae. The record is from Ensembl.
GGAUGUGAGGGGAAUCUGGCUGUGACUUAGUACCCCAUUUUAUCUCCAGCGUUCAUCCAGCUGAUCUGGCUGGCUAGGGACACACUUUCCCCUUUCACUACUCCAUGUAUGUCCCUUCUGAAGCUGCAUCCUUGGUUGAAGAGGGCAACCACCCCUGAGAGAGAAAAGGACUGGGUCAAGGGUCUGCAAGUGGUAAUGCUCUCCUGCUAGAACCUCCAGACAAGCUCUCAAAAUAGUCAUCCUGUGAGGGGCAGUUGGUGGCGUUAGGUGUCUUUAUCGUGUUGUGCAAUUACCACUGUAUAUUCCCGA